This is a ribosomal RNA of Cricetulus griseus (Chinese hamster), 119 nucleotides long. The record is from Ensembl. Lineage: Eukaryota; Metazoa; Chordata; Mammalia; Rodentia; Cricetidae.
GUGUAUGGUCGUACUACCCUGAAUGCACUAGAUCUAGUCUGAUCUCUGAAAUUAAGCAGUGUUGGAUCUGAUUAGUACUUGGAUGGGAGACCACCUGGGAAUAUCAGGUCCUGUAGGCU